Delphinapterus leucas (beluga whale) is the source of this 380-nucleotide non-coding RNA. The record is from RefSeq and is a predicted model, not a curated record. NCBI's taxonomy places the organism in Eukaryota, Metazoa, Chordata, Mammalia, Artiodactyla, Monodontidae.
AUUAUGGAGGACACUAGAAAUAGUACUUUUUUACAGAGCAAGGGCUUCCUACCAGCAUAGUCACUUUGAGGGUUUUGAACCUGAAAAGUUCUUUGGCAUAUUUUUUCUUUGCUAGCCACUUUUUUUUCUAUUUUUUUCUUUGAUUGUUUGUUUCUCUUCUCCACUUUAUCAUCUAGAGACCUGGGUGGUUCCCAAUGAAAGAGUGUUUUACAGAUUCUAAGGGUGAUUUAGAGAAUUCUCAAUCGUAAUCCUUUGACAACAGUUGAAGAUUCUUAUCUUUUUAAAUUGCCAGCAUUAAAAUAUUUAGACAUGGGAACAACACAAGUGUCACUUACAACAAUUGAAGGCAUCCUCAUGAUGACCCUUGAAUUGGAAAAACU